AGUGAACGCUGGCGGCAUGCCUAACACAUGCAAGUCGAACGGUAGCAGGCCCGCAAGGGUGCUGACGAGUGGCGGACGGGUGAGGAAUACAUCGGAGUUUGCCCAGUCGUGGGGGAUAACGUAGGGGAACUUACGCUAAUACCGCAUACGACCGAGAGGUGAAAGCGGGGGAUCUGUAAGGACCUCGCGCGAGUGGAUAAGCCGAUGUCGGAUUAGCUAGUUGGCGGGGUAAAGGCCCACCAAGGCGACGAUCCGUAGCUGGUCUGAGAGGAUGAUCAGCCACACUGGGACUGAGACACGGCCCAGACUCCUACGGGAGGCAGCAGUGGGGAAUAUUGGGACAAUGGGGGCAACCCUGAUCCAGCAAUGCCGCGUGUGUGAAGAAGGGCCUUCGGGUUGUAAAGCACUUUUAUCCGGAACGAAACGCGCAGGGUGAAUAUCCUUGCGAACUGACGGUACCGGAGGAAUAAGCA
RNAcentral lists this ribosomal RNA (473 nucleotides) under uncultured bacterium. RNAcentral's name for it is "bacterial SSU rRNA". It matches the Rfam family "Bacterial small subunit ribosomal RNA", at positions 30 to 492 of the family's 1533-position model. The record is from RNAcentral.